RNAcentral lists this small RNA (277 nucleotides) under Pan troglodytes (chimpanzee). RNAcentral describes it as "Metazoan signal recognition particle RNA (ENSPTRG00000047973.1)". The stretch from base 1 to 148 matches the Rfam family "Metazoan signal recognition particle RNA". From Rfam's summary of the family: The signal recognition particle (SRP) is a universally conserved ribonucleoprotein. Lineage: Eukaryota; Metazoa; Chordata; Mammalia; Primates; Hominidae. The record is from RNAcentral.
GCUGGGUGUGGUGGCGUGCAUCUGUAGUCCCAGCUCCUUGGGAGGCAGAGGUGGGAGGAUCACUUGAGUCCAGGAAUUCAAGGCUGCAGUGAGCUAUGAUCAUACCAGUGCCCUCCAGCCUGGGCAACAGAGUGAAACCCUGUCUCUAAAAAAUAGAAAAUAGGCUGGGCUCAGUGGCUCACGCCUGUAGUCCCAGCACUUUCGGAGGCCAAGGCAGGCAGAUCAGGAGCUCAAGAGAUUGAGACCAUCCUGGCCAACAUAGUGAAACCCCGUCUCU